Molecule: ribosomal RNA, 792 nt
Filed under: uncultured Pseudomonadota bacterium
Lineage: Bacteria; Pseudomonadati; Pseudomonadota
Description: bacterial SSU rRNA
Rfam family: Bacterial small subunit ribosomal RNA
Source: RNAcentral
CAAGUCGAACGGACAUUUAGCUUUUUCGAAUGUUAGUGGCGAAAGGGUGAGUAACACGUGGGAUACGUACCCUAGGGUUCGGGAUAACCAAUCGAAAGAUUGGCUAAUACCGGAUACGUUCAUGUAUUUUCGAAUAUAUGAGGAAAGAUAGGGACCUCUUCGGAGGCCUGUCACCCCUGGAUCGGCCCGCGGCCUAUCAGCUAGUUGGUGAGGUAAUGGCUCACCAAGGCUAAGACGGGUAGCUGGUCUGAGAGGAUGGUCAGCCACACUGGGACUGAGACACUGCCCAGACACCUACGGGUGGCUGCAGUCGAGAAUCUUUCGCAAUGGGGGCAACCCUGACGAAGCGACGCCGCGUGGAGGAUGAAGGUCUUCGGAUUGUAAACUCCUGUCGGCUGGGAAGAAAGACUUUCGAUUAAUAAUUGAAAGUUUUGACGGUACCAGCAAAGGAAGCCACGGCUAACUCUGUGCCAGCAGCCGCGGUAAUACAGAGGUGGCAAGCGUUGUUCGGAUUUAUUGGGCGUAAAGGGUCCGUAGGCGGUUUGGAAAGUCGGGUGUGAAAGCCCACAGCUCAACUGUGGAACUGCAUUCGAAACUCCCAAACUAGAGUAUGAGAGGGGUUAAGGGAAUUCCCGGUGUAAGGGUGAAAUCUGCAGAGAUCGGGAGGAACACCAGUCGCGAAGGCGCUUAACUGGCUCAUUACUGACGCUCAGGGACGAAAGCUAGGGGAGCAAACGGGAUUAGAUACCCCGGUAGUCCUAGCCGUAAACUAUGGUCACUAGUGUUGGGGGG